Molecule: non-coding RNA, 119 nt
Organism: Corchorus olitorius
Lineage: Eukaryota; Viridiplantae; Streptophyta; Magnoliopsida; Malvales; Malvaceae
Source: the annotation of a GenBank genome assembly
GGUCUUUUAGCUCAGCGGGAGAGCAGCUACCAGCGGGUAGUGCGUUAAAACCCUUAUUUUAAAGCGUUAACUUUUAAGUAUUGGGUUACUUUGCGCUGGUUCGAAUCCAGCAAAGGCCA